UAAAGGAGAGUAUCGAACAAUCCCCAUUGGUCUAGGUGGCUAGGAUAUUCGGCUUUCACCCGGAAGGCCCGGG
This 73-nucleotide transfer RNA is filed under the name Sterkiella histriomuscorum. Its description in RNAcentral is "tRNA-Glu". The record is from RNAcentral. Lineage: Eukaryota; Ciliophora; Spirotrichea; Sporadotrichida; Oxytrichidae.